AUGUGGGCCCUGCGCAGUUCCCCGUCAACGUCGCUGAGCCGGCGGUCGUCGUACGAGGGAGGACGGGCGACGCCAAACUCAGAGGCGUAUCUGCCAGACGGGGACUCUAGCAGGGCAGCGGCAGUGGUGUCCUCUGUGGAGGAGCAGGAAGUCCACCUCCGGGACCAGUGGGACGUGACUCUCUUCUCUCAAGAGUGGAGGAAGGGUGAGUCCUACUGGAGCGUAGAUGGCAUCCACUCUACAGGCGUGGCAAUACUUUUUGGGGACCGCGCCUUUGAGAAGGUAAGGCCUUUCAUCGUUCAUGCCGGCCAAGUGUUGGGGGUGGACAUCAUGUGGAGAAGUUUGCACAUACAUGUUCUGUGUGUCUACGCUCUGGUGAAGGUCAAGUCCCGCAUCGCUCUGUUUGACAAGUUGGUCCCUCAUUGUGUGACUGUUAGACAUCUAAUAAUAGGAGGAGACUUCAACAUUUUUCUUGAGGGCAAGGAUGAUGCUAGUAUUAAACAUUUUAAAAACUUUAUUAGCAGUUUUAACCUCACUGACAGUUUUAGAAAAUGCAACCCCACCAGUCUGCCAUUACCUGGCGCCACAGCCGCGGUGCCUGUAGUCGUUUAGAUUACAUUUUAGCAUUGCCCUCCGUUACUUUUAAGAAGGUUCUCUUAGCAGCCAAGUUGCUUACGGACCAUAUGAUGGUUGAGGCCAUGAUUUCCAUCUUGUCCCCGACCCAUGGCCAGGGCUACUGGAAGAUGAAUAUUGAAGUCCUCCAAGAAAAGGAGUAUAGAGACCUUUUUUAUGAGAAUUUUUUGUUGUGGCAGGAUUCCAUGGAUUUUUACCCCUUAGUGGCUGAUUGGUGGGAGGGGGUCAAGGUGAAGGCCAAGGCCCUCACCAUCAACUAUUGUAUCUGACAUGUCGCUUUGGGGCGUCAGGAUAUCAGCUUGCUCAAGGAGGAACUCCAGAGAAUUUAUUCUUGUCACAGUAACAGAGGGACCUUUGAUUAUGAUAGGGCCGUGGAGAUAAAGGCUACUUUGAGGCGGUUGCAUGAGUGGCAGGCCGAAGUCUUUCUGUUUGGCGCCAGAGUUAAGGAGGUAGAGGAGAACGAGAAGUCAGUGUACCUCCUACUUUUUUAA
Molecule: long non-coding RNA, 1124 nt
Filed under: Scleropages formosus (Asian bonytongue)
Lineage: Eukaryota; Metazoa; Chordata; Actinopteri; Osteoglossiformes; Osteoglossidae
Description: lncRNA (ENSSFOG00015031368.1)
Source: RNAcentral